GUUGAGGGGAAUGUUGUCUGGUUCGAGACAAUUCAAUUCGAAGUUCGAGGCUUCAUCUGAACGAUUUCGGACUAGGCUUCAUUCCCCUCAAC
RNAcentral lists this microRNA precursor (92 nucleotides) under Gossypium barbadense (sea-island cotton). RNAcentral describes it as "mir-166 microRNA precursor family". It matches the Rfam family "mir-166 microRNA precursor family". Rfam says of the family: This family represents the plant microRNA (miRNA) precursor mir-166. Animal miRNAs are transcribed as ~70nt precursors and subsequently processed by the Dicer enzyme to give a ~22nt product. In plants the precursor sequences may be longer, and the carpel factory (caf) enzyme appears to be involved in processing. RNAcentral also lists the same sequence under 1 other name. Lineage: Eukaryota; Viridiplantae; Streptophyta; Magnoliopsida; Malvales; Malvaceae. The record is from Rfam by way of RNAcentral.